This 1011-nucleotide long non-coding RNA is filed under the name Phasianus colchicus (ring-necked pheasant). RNAcentral describes it as "lncRNA (ENSPCLG00000009082.1)". The record is from RNAcentral. Lineage: Eukaryota; Metazoa; Chordata; Aves; Galliformes; Phasianidae.
AUGUUAAUGACUUUGGUGACAAAAGUCGUCCGUGGAAGACUUUUUCUUUAUAGUGUAGCAUCAGCGGGGGUGAGCGCGGCCACCACGUUACUGUGGGGAUGGGAUCACACCCAGGGCUGUGCUGUGGGGAUGGGAUCACAGCCAGGGCUGUGCCCAGCUCCGUGCAGCCUGGGGUGCGGUGUGGGCCGGCACUACACCCGGUGCUGCAGCUGCCCUCCUUUGUUCUCUCCGGGGCUGGGGGGUGUGCGGGGCUCCCUCCACUGCACUGCCGGUAUCGGGGCCGCCCCGAGCUCUGCGGAUGGAGGGUGGGCAGCGCUGCAGGAAGGCCUGGAUGGACAGAUGGACAUAUGGAUGGAUAGACGGAUGCAUGGCUCACGUGCAGCACAGAGAGGGUCGCAGCCCGCGUACGGCGCCGGUGCUGCCGACCCCCGGCAUUACCGUUGCACAGCAACGCAGCUCCGCAGGGGCACGAGGCCGAGCCCCGCGGUCGCCAGCGCCGCCCCAGGGGACGGGAGCGGGACGCAGAUUGGCAGAAACGGGAAAAAAUGGCAGCGCCCUUCGCUUUCCGAGCAAAACACCCAUUUCCGGCAGCGCGACUCCCGACCGCCUGCAGCCCCGCGGGCGACCCCGCGCCGUUCCCGCACGGUGCCCCCCACCCGCGGUGUCACUCGUUUCCUCUGCUGGAGGGGAACCAGAGGGUCCACCAAGGACGUCUUGGGGACACUCCAUCCUCCCUGUGUUCCCCCCCGAGAAGGUUCGUGCUCUGUACCUACUCUGCUCCUCCUGGCUGAAUGCCUGCACAGACAGAACCCUCUUCUCCGUUUUCCUAAUAGCAUCCAUAAAUUUAUUCUUGCUUCCAACCUGCCAGGUCCCCACAUGACACACGGUGUCCUCCAGCCCGCGCCGCAGCGAUGGAUUGAACUUUAGUCUCUGAGCAAUUAAGGUGACCUGAAACUGCACUUCAUUAAUGGUUGUUAUGCAAUAAAAACGAUAAAACUGCCCUUAUUUGCA